This is a non-coding RNA of Pogona vitticeps (central bearded dragon), 233 nucleotides long. The record is from RefSeq and is a predicted model, not a curated record. NCBI's taxonomy places the organism in Eukaryota, Metazoa, Chordata, Lepidosauria, Squamata, Agamidae.
GAAUCUCUCUCUCUAACUUUGAUGAUCAUGGAUUUAAUUUUAUGAAGUAAUACCAUAGGCAAAAAGAACCUCAGCUAAAUUGAUGUGCCUCAUUCACUUUACAAGCAGAUGUGAAGGCUCAUAAACUCAAUUACAGCCCGAAGGAAUGAGACAUUCUGAGAACUUUCUGUUGCUAAGGGCUGCUUCUUCCAUACCUCCCCUUAAUUAUUUUAACACUCUAUUCUCACAAGAUU